GUUGUAGUCUGGAGAAGUGCUUUCCGCGCCGGACCGUGUACAAGUCUCUUGGAAUAGAGCGUCAUAGAGGGUGAGAAUCCCGUCUUUGACACGGACUACCGGUGCUUUGUGAUGCGCUCUCAAAGAGUCGAGUUGUUUGGGAAUGCAGCUCAAAAUGGGUGGUAAAUUCCAUCUAAAGCUAAAUAUUGGCGAGAGACCGAUAGCGAACAAGUACCGUGAGGGAAAGAUGAAAAGCACUUUGGAAAGAGAGUUAAACAGUACGUGAAAUUGCUGAAAGGGAAACGCUUGAAGUCAGUCGCGUCGUGCAGAACUCAACCUUGCUUUCGCUUGGUGCACUUUCUGUACGACGGGCCAGCAUCAAUUUUGACCGUCGGAUAAAGGCCGAAGGAAUGUGGCACCCGUUUGGGUGUGUUAUAGCCUUCGGUCGCAUACGGCGGUUGGGAUUGAGGAACGCAGCGCGCCGCAAGGUGGGGCUUCGGCCUACUUUCGCGCUUAGGAUGCUGGCAUAAUGGCUUUAAACGACCCGUCUUGAAACACGGACCAAGGAGUCUAACAUGCCUGCGAGUGUUUGGGUGGAAAACCCGAGCGCGUAAUGAAAGUGAAAGUUGAGACCUCUGUCGUGGAGGGCAUCGACGCCCGGACCAGACGUUUACUGACGGAUCCGCGGUAGAGC
This 673-nucleotide ribosomal RNA is filed under the name Polyporus cf. grammocephalus 1 KH-2011. Its description in RNAcentral is "LSU rRNA". It matches the Rfam family "Eukaryotic large subunit ribosomal RNA", at positions 142 to 801 of the family's 3401-position model. RNAcentral also lists the same sequence under 2 other names. Lineage: Eukaryota; Fungi; Basidiomycota; Agaricomycetes; Polyporales; Polyporaceae. The record is from RNAcentral.